UCAGUUCCCGUUGCUUCAGCUCUGACGGAGUGCAAAUCGUAAUCGUUGCUCUGUCAGAGAAAUGAUCGUUAUCUGGCCAGAGACGGUAAAGAAGAUACCAGGCCGCGCCUUGGAGAUGGCGCCAGUAGAGCUACAGUUAUUGAUGAAGCUUAGCUUCAAAAUCUCUCAAAAGAGCCCUGGACUUCUUCUCUCCGGUUCACGGCCAUGUCGCUCCUCCCGAUCAUGAGAGGAAUGCUUGCUUAUGGUUGUAGUUCGCUAAUCAGAUCUGCAGUUUUUUGUCUUGCUGUUGGCAACAAGCAUACCUACAUGGUCAUCUCAGUGGUGUGUUUACUGCUUGGCCCUUCAUCCGACAAUUGAUAUUUUGCUUACUGGGGGACGUGAUUCUGUCUGCCAGGUAUCCAAUUUUACCAGUUAGUUUGAAUUAUAAUUUUGUGGUAUUAUUCAAGUCAGGUUCUCUCGUCGUGAGCAUUACAAAGUUUUGCAUCGGCUUCAGCUGACAAUAUCAAGAAAUUUAACCUCCCCAAGGGGAGUUUGUGCACAAUAUGCUGUGAGUUUCUAUAGUAAUUUAUUAUUUGCAAUUUAAUAAUGUGCCCUUUGUAGCCUUAUUUACUUCAAAAGCUAGGUCUAUAUGAGAAUAUAUUAAAGGAGAACAAGAAACUUUUGGAGUGAGUCGGUGUGAUCCCACGUUGGUUGGAGAGGGGAACAAAACAUUUCUUAUAGAGUGUGGAAACCUCUCCUUAGUAUACGUGUUUUAAAAUCGUGAGUCUGAUGGUGAUACUUAAUGAGCCAAACUAGACAAACUAGCGGUGGGCUUUCAACUGUUAUAGUAGGUAUGACCCUCACUAUUUUGAGUGGGUCUCGGGUCGAGCUGCCUUAGCCAAAAUUCUUGGAGAGCUUGUUUCCCUCUCUUUUCUCCGUUUGUCAGGUGCCAUCUUCGGGAAGGUUCAAAAGUUUGUUUUUGGGAGGUUGUUAGGUUUAAUGCAUCCUUGUAGGCGUCGGUCACUACUAGGCUGUUCUGUGUGAUGAUGUUAUUUUGGUGUUCCGUGCAAAACAUACGAGAGAAAGAACAAUGGGUCGUGGGGAAGAG
Cucurbita pepo subsp. pepo (vegetable marrow) is the source of this 1087-nucleotide non-coding RNA. Lineage: Eukaryota; Viridiplantae; Streptophyta; Magnoliopsida; Cucurbitales; Cucurbitaceae. The record is from RefSeq and is a predicted model, not a curated record.